UCCAACCGUUUUCAUCCCUAAUUUAUGUGCCAACGUUUGACUGUUCGUCUUAUUUAAGAAAAAUUAUUGUUAGUAUUUUUUUAUUAUUAGAUGAUAAAACAUGAAUAAUACUUUAUACGUGAAAAUUUCAUAAAUAUUUCAAAUAAGAUAAACGGUUAAAGUUGGACAUAGAAACCAGCCGCUGCAUUUAAA
RNAcentral lists this microRNA precursor (192 nucleotides) under Oryza barthii. RNAcentral describes it as "MIR812 microRNA precursor family". It matches the Rfam family "MIR812 microRNA precursor family". The record is from Rfam by way of RNAcentral. Lineage: Eukaryota; Viridiplantae; Streptophyta; Magnoliopsida; Poales; Poaceae.